Molecule: long non-coding RNA, 551 nt
Filed under: Bos taurus (domestic cattle)
Lineage: Eukaryota; Metazoa; Chordata; Mammalia; Artiodactyla; Bovidae
Description: long non-coding RNA NONBTAT000612
Source: RNAcentral
GAAAAUACAUUUGUCCUUUAAGAAAUCAUUCUUGAAAGAGCUGAGACUGUCCCAGAUUUGGUGGAGGGGGGCAAGUUAUAAAAACUGGAGGUUGCUAAGCACUAUUAUAAUACAAAUUUUAGUCACACAAGACACAAAUGAGGAAGUAAAACUUUAAGAGGAGCUAUUUUAGUCUUUCUCCCCAAUAGGUAAGCUGACAGGGUAACUUCUGAUUGGGAAAAGACAGUAAUUUAAGGUUGUAAUUUCUCAUGCCUUCACUGCCCUAUUUGACAAAACCAAAAUAGAGAAGAGGGAUAAGAAACCAGCUAGAACAACCAUGGUCUUUCCCUUUUAUUCAUUUAACAACCUAAAAAGGGUAAAUAUGUAUGGCCAAGGAAGAGAAAAACUGGAAUUACCAAACAAACACUGGAAAGGGCUUUUGACACUGAGUUAGUUGGAGAGCUGUGUACUCUGAGCAAAGGAAUAUUGGAUUAGGAGGAAGCUGCAUUGUUGGAGAAAUUUCUACUCAUCAGUAAGCUUGUUUCUCUGUAGGUAGGUCAUGACUAUUUCCA